This 584-nucleotide ribosomal RNA is filed under the name uncultured bacterium. Its description in RNAcentral is "bacterial SSU rRNA". It matches the Rfam family "Bacterial small subunit ribosomal RNA", at positions 102 to 683 of the family's 1533-position model. The record is from RNAcentral.
ACGGGUGAGUAAUAUAUCGGAACGUGCCCUGGAGUGGGGGAUAGCUCGGCGAAAGCCGGAUUAAUACCGCAUACGAUCUAAGGAUGAAAGUGGGGGACCGCAAGGCCUCACGCUCCUGGAGCGGCCGAUAUCUGAUUAGCUAGUUGGUGGGGUAAAAGCCCACCAAGGCGACGAUCAGUAGCUGGUCUGAGAGGACGACCAGCCACACUGGGACUGAGACACGGCCCAGACUCCUACGGGAGGCAGCAGUGGGGAAUUUUGGACAAUGGGGGAAACCCUGAUCCAGCAAUGCCGCGUGUGUGAAGAAGGCCUUCGGGUUGUAAAGCACUUUUGUUCGGAAAGAAAUCGCUUUGGCUAAUAUCCAGGGUGGAUGACGGUACCGGAAGAAUAAGCACCGGCUAACUACGUGCCAGCAGCCGCGGUAAUACGUAGGGUGCAAGCGUUAAUCGGAAUUACUGGCGUAAAGCGUGCGCAGGCGGUUGUGCAAGACAGAGGUGAAAUCCCCGAGCUUAACUUGGGAACUGCCUUUGUGACUGCACGGCUAGAGUGUGUCAGAGGGGGGUAGAAUUCCACGUGUAGCAGUG